This 241-nucleotide ribosomal RNA is filed under the name Acinetobacter baumannii. Its description in RNAcentral is "partial 23S ribosomal RNA". It matches the Rfam family "Bacterial large subunit ribosomal RNA", at positions 79 to 361 of the family's 2925-position model. The record is from RNAcentral. Lineage: Bacteria; Pseudomonadati; Pseudomonadota; Gammaproteobacteria; Moraxellales; Moraxellaceae.
CGGGGAGGCGGCAAAUAUCCUUUGAUCCGGAGAUGUCUGAAUGGGGGAACCCACCUACUUUAAGGUAGGUAUUGCAACAUGAAUACAUAGUGUUGCAAGGCGAACGAGGGGAAGUGAAACAUCUCAGUACCCUUAGGAAAAGAAAUCAAUUGAGAUUCCCUCAGUAGCGGCGAGCGAACGGGGGUCAGCCCAUUAAGUUAUGUGUGUUUUAGUGGAACGCUCUGGGAAGUGCGAACGUAGA